AGCUUUGUUUUGGUGGGUUAUUUGACAUUGAGAAUGAUGAUAGGAACGGUUGGGGGCAUUUGUAUUUGGCCGCUAGAGGUGAAAUUCUUGGAUUGGCCGAAGACAAACUACUGCGAAAGCAUUUGACCCAGGACGUUUUCAUUGAUCAGGGACUAAAGUUGAGGGAUCGAAGACGAUUAGAUACCGUCGUAGUCUUAACCACAAACUAUGCCGACUAGCGAUUGGGCCUUGACCUUUGGUCAGGUUCAGCAGCUUAGCGAAAGUAUAAGUCUUUGGGUUCUGGGGGGAGUAUGGGACGCAAGGCUGAAACUUAAAGGAAUUGACGGAAGGGCACCACCAGGAGUGGAGCCUGCGGCUUAAUUUGACUCAACACGGGGAAACUCACCAGGUCCAGACAUAAGAAGGAUUGACAGAUUGAAAGCUCUUUCUAGAUUUUAUGGGUGGUGGUGCAUGGCCGUUCUUAGUUCGUGGAGUGAUUUGCUGGUUAAUUCCGAUAACGAACGAGACCUUAUUCUGCUAAAUAGCUAGGCCAACUUUUUAGUUGGUUGCAUGGUACCUUCGGGUACCCUAGCUUCUUAGAGAGACUACUGAAUUCAAUUCAGUGGAAGUUUUAGGCAAUAACAGGUCUGUGAUGCCCUUAGAUGUUCUGGGCCGCGCGCGCGCUACACUGACAAAAUCAUCGAGUUUUUUUCUUUGGCCGUGAGGUGUGGGUCAGCUAAAGAAAUUUCGUCUUCGCUUGUGAUAUCCCCUGGAAAAAAGUAU
RNAcentral lists this ribosomal RNA (762 nucleotides) under Absidia glauca. RNAcentral's name for it is "SSU rRNA". It matches the Rfam family "Eukaryotic small subunit ribosomal RNA", at positions 832 to 1598 of the family's 1831-position model. Lineage: Eukaryota; Fungi; Mucoromycota; Mucoromycetes; Mucorales; Cunninghamellaceae. The record is from RNAcentral.